Molecule: transfer RNA, 73 nt
Organism: Camelus ferus (Wild Bactrian camel)
Lineage: Eukaryota; Metazoa; Chordata; Mammalia; Artiodactyla; Camelidae
Rfam family: tRNA
About the family: Transfer RNA (tRNA) molecules are approximately 80 nucleotides in length. Their secondary structure includes four short double-helical elements and three loops (D, anti-codon, and T loops). Further hydrogen bonds mediate the characteristic L-shaped molecular structure. tRNAs have two regions of fundamental functional importance: the anti-codon, which is responsible for specific mRNA codon recognition, and the 3' end, to which the tRNAs corresponding amino acid is attached (by aminoacyl-tRNA synthetases). tRNAs cope with the degeneracy of the genetic code in two manners: having more than one tRNA (with a specific anti-codon) for a particular amino acid; and 'wobble' base-pairing, i.e. permitting non-standard base-pairing at the 3rd anti-codon position.
Source: Rfam
GAGGAUAUAGCUCAAGUGGUAGAACAUAUGCUUAGUGUGCAUGAGGUCCUGGGUUCAAUCCCCAGUAUUCCCU